Molecule: long non-coding RNA, 1206 nt
Organism: Astatotilapia calliptera (eastern happy)
Lineage: Eukaryota; Metazoa; Chordata; Actinopteri; Cichliformes; Cichlidae
Source: Ensembl
UACAUCGAAGUGCUUAUCGUGGGCCUAUUUUUUCUCUCUACAAAGUGUUUCCAUCUUUCUUUUAUUUUGAUUUUAUUAUUAUUAUUUUAUUUGCGUGCCUUUUAUCCACCAGGAGCUAUGUAACGCUACUGUUCUUAAUAACCACCCCACAUCAGUGACACCAUUUAGCUGGCACCCUGAAAAUUUAAAAAGAAAUCAAUUAAAGCAUAAAUUACGGUGUAGCCUCGAGUCGGUUACUCAAGGCUGCCCUUACUGGGUCACACUGCACAAAAAGGAACGAACCUCAGCAAACACAGCAUGCUCUACUCUAAAUUCCUGCAUUAAAAGAAAGCAAGCCAGUGUAUGAAUAACAAUAAAAUCGACGGUAAGAUAAUAAGAUGGUCAUAUCAGCCAAAUGUGUAAAAACUGUAUUACAUUAAGUGGACUCAAAGCAGAAGAUUCCUUUCAGUCUCUCACACAAGUUAAAUACAUUUACAAAAAAAAAGAAAAGAAAAAAAAGCUGCAUUCACCUGCUUCUUCAGGACUCGCAAACCUGCAGGCAUCCAACCCUCCCCUCUCCACUUUCAACACGAGUGGAGCGGAGUGUAGGAUCCGAUAGGCUUCCCCCAAAUCCUAUUAAAAUGACACCAAAUCUUCUCCCGAGCUUCCAAAAGAAGCAAGCCAACGUAUCCUCCCCCCACGAAAAAAGAAAAAAAAACUCCUCCCUGGGCUACACGCCGUGGAAGAAUCGCACCGCAGUCCAAUCCAAACCGCGCAAAGGCGCACAGCCGACACCCGGAGACACUCUCCCCUCUCCGCGUACAGACGGUCCCUUCGCCGCGGAUGUCUCUGGGUCUCCCGGGCUGUUUAGCUCUCAUUCACGCGCGGUCCAAACUGCAAUACGACCAGCGUGUGGAGGAACAGUGUUGGAAAUUCUUCAGUGAGAGAGGUGGGAUAAAAAAAAAAUCUACAGAAUAAAAAUAAAAGUCCUUAUUGGUUUAAUUCAACUUGUUUCCCGUCCGUCUCUCUCCGUGCGCCACCGCUCUCGGCUCCUCCACUGAUGCAAAUGCAGAGGGUUUGAGUCCCUUGCUAGCCACACACACACGCCCCUUUACGAGAGAGGAGCGCGCGGGCGUGCGCGUGUCGGUGUGUGAGUCUCUGCAACGCUUAUGCAGAUUUCAUUCAACUGCCUUUCUCUACCUGCCCGUGGGCUUCCUUGGCCCCUUC